This 381-nucleotide ribosomal RNA is filed under the name Opisthorchis viverrini. RNAcentral describes it as "eukaryotic LSU rRNA". It matches the Rfam family "Eukaryotic large subunit ribosomal RNA", at positions 1 to 349 of the family's 3401-position model. Lineage: Eukaryota; Metazoa; Platyhelminthes; Trematoda; Opisthorchiida; Opisthorchiidae. The record is from RNAcentral.
CCUGACCUCGGAUCAGACGUGAUUACCCGCUGAACUUAAGCAUAUCACUAAGCGGAGGAAAAGAAACUAACAAGGAUUCCCUCAGUAACGGCGAGUGAACAGGGAAGAGCCCAGCACCGAAGCCUGUGGCCAGUUGGUCACUAGGCCAAUGUGGUGUUCAGGUCGUUCCGCGGAGGUGCUGCUCCAUUCCAAGUCCAGCAAUGAGUACGGUAAUGCUGACAUGGCCCAAAGAGGGUGAAAGGCCCGUUGGGGUGGAGAGGCAGAAAUGACAGCACCUUCCUGGAUAGACCUUGGAGUCGGGUUGUUUGUGAAUGCAGCCCAAAGUGGGUGGUAAACUCCAUCCAAGGCUAAAUACUUGCACGAGUCCGAUAGCGAACAAGU